CUGUGAUUGGCUGUUGCCGAAAGAGGCGGGGAGGGCUGAUUGGACGGUUUGGUCCGCCAAUCACCAUGGACAAAGGAGGAGCCUGGAAGCAAGCGCCUCUCACGCACGUGUUCGCAGGUGUUCGAACCUCCAGGCCCCAAGCCUUCCAAGGUGUGCGCCCGCUGGACGACGGUCUUCAGUAUGUCGUGCAGGACCCAGUUCCCUGACCAGGGAUCAAACCUGGGCCCCCUGAGUUGGGGUGCAGACUCUUAGCCAGUGGACCACCAGGCAAGUCCCACGCCCUCUUAUCUUCGUAACCUAGAACUGUCACUGCCUCUGCAACCCAAACCUCAGGUCCCAGUGGCCCAUGGAUGCAGGAUCCGGCUCUGCCUCCCAAACUAGAAUCUUGCUGGCCUGAGACCCUGACCUUGGCCACUUGACAGGCAUGGCUGUCCUGCUCCGCUCAGGCCCUCCCCACAAGAGCCUCACCUGUGCCAUCCGGAGACAAUGUCAUAACUCAGAGAAAUGAUGGGGAUUUCAGAUGCUUGAUAUGCUGGUGCGUGCUAAGGUGCUUCAGUCGUGUCCAACUCUUUGCGACGCUAGAGACUAUAGCCGCCAGGCUCCUCUGUCCAUGGGAUUCUCCAGGCAAGAACACUGGAGUGGGUUGCCUUUUCCUCUUCCAGGGCAUCUUCCUGAUCCAGGGAUCGAACUCACGUCUCUUAUGUCUCCUGCAUUGGCAGGUGGGUUCUUUACCACUAGUGCUGCCGGGGAGGCCUGUGUUCUUUCUACACACCUAUAAAUACAAUCCAUUACAGCUUGGUGAUAGGCGGG
Bos taurus (domestic cattle) is the source of this 810-nucleotide long non-coding RNA. The record is from Ensembl. NCBI's taxonomy places the organism in Eukaryota, Metazoa, Chordata, Mammalia, Artiodactyla, Bovidae.